GAUGGUCGGAUGGUCGCUGUUUCGGCAGAGGAAAGUCCGGGCUCUAGAAAACUACGGUGCCGGAUAACGUCCGGCGAGGGUGACCUCAGGGAAAGUGCCACAGAAAACAAACCGCCGUUUUUAUAAUGGUAAGGGUGAAACGGUGCGGUAAGAGCGCACCGCGAUCUCGGUAACGAGAUUGGCAGGGUAAACCCCACCGAGAGCAAGACCAGGUAGGAACAUAUUGCCAUUUGGCAAAGGGUGGUUUUCCCCUAUGUUCGGGUAGGUCGCUUGAGGCGUAAGGUAACUUGCGUCCCAGAUGAAUGGCCAUCCUGCCGCAUCGCGGCAGACAGAACCCGGCUUAUAGACCAUCUGG
RNAcentral lists this RNase P RNA (355 nucleotides) under marine eukaryotic metagenome. RNAcentral describes it as "Bacterial RNase P class A". It matches the Rfam family "Bacterial RNase P class A". Rfam says of the family: Ribonuclease P (RNase P) is a ubiquitous endoribonuclease, found in archaea, bacteria and eukarya as well as chloroplasts and mitochondria. The record is from RNAcentral.